Thalassophryne amazonica is the source of this 357-nucleotide long non-coding RNA. RefSeq lists it as uncharacterized. NCBI's taxonomy places the organism in Eukaryota, Metazoa, Chordata, Actinopteri, Batrachoidiformes, Batrachoididae. The record is from RefSeq and is a predicted model, not a curated record. The transcript has 2 exons.
UGGUGUAACUAGAUCAUUUUUUUUCUCUAUAUUUGCAGCCUCUAGGCUGUUUCAUUAAAUUAUUCCAUUUGAAAUAACAAUAAUAGGUAGAACGUCAGUUUUGCUUAAAUAAAAUGUUAACACAAUUUGGUCAUUCCCAUUAAACUUGCCAUAAACUACGUUGAAAGCUAACAUGUAUUGUUGUUUUUAAUAUAACACUGUGUUCUUGACAGUAUUGACCAACAUUUGAUAAAAUAACAUUUAUUUUACACACUUGAAUUUUAUUGUAGUUACAUAGUGUUUUGUUGUACUUUUUUUCACAUUUAAUGUUAUAGACAGGCAGUAUUUGCAUUUGGUCACAAUUUUGCGUAGUGUUUU